AUGUAAUGUAAUUCCUACAACGUUAAUGCAUCAGAUCCCAUUAGAACUUUGCAGUUAAGCAUGCUUGGGCUAGAGUAGUACUAGGAUCGAUGAUCUCUUGGGAAGUCCUAGUGUUUUACAUG
Molecule: non-coding RNA, 122 nt
Organism: Picea glauca (white spruce)
Lineage: Eukaryota; Viridiplantae; Streptophyta; Pinopsida; Pinales; Pinaceae
Source: Rfam